Molecule: ribosomal RNA, 429 nt
Filed under: bacterium
Lineage: Bacteria
Description: partial 16S ribosomal RNA
Rfam family: Bacterial small subunit ribosomal RNA
Source: RNAcentral
UAGGGAAUCUUCCACAAUGGACGCAAGUCUGAUGGAGCAACGCCGCGUGAGUGAAGAAGGUUUUCUGAUCGUAAAGCUCUGUUGUUGGUGAAGAAGGAUAGAGGCAGUAACUGGUCUUUAUUUUACGGUAAUCAACCAGAAAGUCACGGCUAACUACGUGCCAGCAGCCGCUGUAAUACGUAGGUGGCAAGCGUUGUCCGUAUUUAUUUGGCGUAAAGCGAGCGCAGGCGGAAUGAUAAGUCUGAUGUGAAAGCCCAGGGCUAAACCGUGGGACUGCAUCGGAAACUGUCAUUCUUGAGUGCAGAAGAGGAGAGUGGAAUUCCAGGUGUAGCGGUGGAAUGCGUAGAUAUAUGGAAGAACACCAGUGGCGAAGGCGGCACUCUGGUGUGCAACUGACGCUGAGGCUCGAAAGCAUGGGUAGCGAACAGG